ACGCUCGACACCUACGGAAGGCAGCAGUGGGGAAUAUUGCACAAUGGGGGAAACCCUGAUGCAGCGACGCCGCGUGAGCGAAGAAGUAUCUCGGUAUGUAAAGCCCUAUCAGCAGGGAAGAAGAUGACGGUACCUGACUAAGAAGCACCGGCUAAAUACGUGCCGGCAGCCGCGGUAAUCUGAGCGGGCUGGCAAGGC
This 198-nucleotide ribosomal RNA is filed under the name uncultured bacterium. RNAcentral's name for it is "partial 16S ribosomal RNA". It matches the Rfam family "Bacterial small subunit ribosomal RNA", at positions 326 to 539 of the family's 1533-position model. The record is from RNAcentral.